UAGCGGCGGACGGGUGAGUAAUGUAUAGGGAGCUGCCCGACAGAGGGGGAUACCAGUUGGAAACGACUGUUAAUACCGCAUAACGUCUACGGACCAAAGUAUGGGACCUUCGGGCCAUAUGCUGUCGGAUGCACCUAUAUGGGAUUAGCUAGUUGGUGGGGUAAUAGCUCACCAAGGCGACGAUCCCUAGCUGGUUUGAGAGGAUGAUCAGCCACACUGGAACUGAGACACGGUCCAGACUCCUACGGGAGGCAGCAGUGGGGAAUAUUGGACAAUGGGCGUAAGCCUGAUCCAGCCAUGCCGCGUGUGUGAAGAAGGCCUUCGGGUUGUAAAGCACUUUCAGCGGGGAGGAAGGGGUUGUUGUUAAUAGCAACAAUCUUUGACGUUACCCGCAGAAGAAGCACCGGCUAACUCCGUGCCAGCAGCCGCGGUAAUACGGAGGGUGCAAGCGUUAAUCGGAAUUACUGGGCGUAAAGCGCACGUAGGCGGUAUGUUAAGUUGGAUGUGAAAGCCCCGGGCUCAACCUGGGAAUUGCAUUCAAAACUGGCAUGCUAGAAUAUGUGAGAGGGGGGUAGAAUUCCAAGUGUAGCGGUGAAAUGCGUAGAGAUUUGGAGGAAUACCAGUGGCGAAAGCGGCCCCCUGGCACAAUACUGACGCUCAGUGCGAAAGCGGGGGGAGCAAACAGGAUU
RNAcentral lists this ribosomal RNA (689 nucleotides) under uncultured bacterium. Its description in RNAcentral is "bacterial SSU rRNA". It matches the Rfam family "Bacterial small subunit ribosomal RNA", at positions 93 to 779 of the family's 1533-position model. The record is from RNAcentral.